This 489-nucleotide ribosomal RNA is filed under the name uncultured bacterium. RNAcentral describes it as "partial 16S ribosomal RNA". It matches the Rfam family "Bacterial small subunit ribosomal RNA", at positions 30 to 506 of the family's 1533-position model. The record is from RNAcentral.
AUUGAACGCUGGCGGCAGGCCUAACACAUGCAAGUCGAACGGUAACAGGAAGAAGCUUGCUUCUUUGCUGACGAGUGGCGGACGGGUGAGUAAUGUCUGGGAAACUGCCUGAUGGAGGGGGAUAACUACUGGAAACGGUAGCUAAUACCGCAUAACGUCGCAAGACCAAAGAGGGGGACCUUCGGGCCUCUUGCCAUCGGAUGUGCCCAGAUGGGAUUAGCUAGUAGGUGGGGUAACGGCUCACCUAGGCGACGAUCCCUAGCUGGUCUGAGAGGAUGACCAGCCACACUGGAACUGAGACACGGUCCAGACUCCUACGGGAGGCAGCAGUGGGGAAUAUUGCACAAUGGGCGCAAGCCUGAUGCAGCCAUGCCGCGUGUAUGAAGAAGGCCUUCGGGUUGUAAAGUACUUCCAGCGGGGAGGAAGGGAGUAAAGUUAAUACCUUUGCUCAUUGACGUUACCCGCAGAAGAAGCACCGGCUAACUCCGU